This 492-nucleotide ribosomal RNA is filed under the name uncultured bacterium. RNAcentral describes it as "partial 16S ribosomal RNA". It matches the Rfam family "Bacterial small subunit ribosomal RNA", at positions 29 to 507 of the family's 1533-position model. The record is from RNAcentral.
AAUGAACGCUGGCGGUAUGCCUAACACAUGCAAGUCGAACGGCAGCACCGUACGUGCUUGCUCUUACGGGUGUCGCGUGGCGGACGGUUGAUUUAUGCAUCGGAAUCUACUUUUUCGUGUGGGAUAACGUCGGGUAACUUCCCCUAAUACCGCAUACGACCUACGGGUGAAAGCCGGGGAACUUCUGACCUUGCGCGGUUGAAUGAGCCGAUGUCGGCUUCGCUAGUUGGCGGGGUAAAGACCUACCACGGCGACGCUCCGUAGCUGGCCUGAGAGGGUGAUCAGCCACACUGGAUCUGAGACACGGCCCAGACUCCUACGGGAGGACGCAGUGGGGAAUAUUGGACAAUGGGCGCAAGCCUGAUACAGCCAUACCGCGUGAGUGAAGAAGGCGUUCGGGUUGGAAAGUCCUUUUGGUGGGAAAGAAAAGAAGCAGGUUAAUACGCCGCUGUUAUGACGGUACCCGAAGAAUAAGCACCGGCUAACUUCGUG